GAUGAACGCUAGCGGCAGGCUUAACACAUGCAAGUCGAGGGGCAGCAUACCCGGUGACGGGUGAUGGCGACCGGCGGAAGGGUGAGUAACGCGUGAGCAACAUACCCGUAUCAGUGGGAUAAUACAGGGAAACUUGUUCUAAUAUCACAUAAUAUUAUUCAGAGGCAUCUUUGGAUAAUUAAAGUUCAGGCGGAUACGGAAUGGCUCGCGUGACAUUAGCUAGAUGGUAGGGUAAAGGCCUACCAUGGCUAUGAUGUCUAGGGGUUCUGAGAGGGAGGUCCCCCACACUGGAACUGAGACACGGUCCAGACUCCUACGGGAGGCAGCAGUGAGGAAUAUUGGACAAUGGAUGAAAAUCUGAUCCAGCCAUGCCGCGUGCAGGAAGGCGGCCCUAUGGGUUGUAAACUGCUUUUGUACGGGAGCAAUAAGGUCUACGAGUAGAUUGAUGAGAGUACUGUACGAAUAAGCAUCGGCUAACU
This 479-nucleotide ribosomal RNA is filed under the name uncultured bacterium. RNAcentral's name for it is "bacterial SSU rRNA". It matches the Rfam family "Bacterial small subunit ribosomal RNA", at positions 28 to 502 of the family's 1533-position model. The record is from RNAcentral.